Molecule: ribosomal RNA, 28 nt
Filed under: Acer tegmentosum
Lineage: Eukaryota; Viridiplantae; Streptophyta; Magnoliopsida; Sapindales; Sapindaceae
Also listed under: 9 other names
Description: partial 25S ribosomal RNA
Source: RNAcentral
GCGACCCCAGGUCAGGCGGGAUUACCCG